AAGCAGCGAUUUUCCCCUCGUUCUAGGUUCCACCUUCUCCUCCCGGAGGGAAACCCUGUCUAUCCGAUCUAGUUUUCUUUCGCCCGUGUGGCGGCGGCGGUAGAUCGGAGGCAACGAAGCGCGACGACGGCUACAGGAGCAGCUGCUCUCUCCUCCAACUCCCGUAGGUUUCUUGAGGGCGCCCCGCUGUGGAAGCUGCCUGUGGCGUCGGGGCCCUCCAUGGCGCGCAGCGGCGGACCCAGCCUGCGCCGCGGCCGGACCAGCCUGGUCGCGCGGUGGUGGCACAGCUUGUGGACUGAAAUCUCACUUUGUGGUGCCACUCGUCCAUACACUUGUCAAUUCCAUCGGAGAAAAUGAUGGUGAGGAUGAGUCUUGGUGAUGUGGGUACUGGCUAUGGCUUCCUUUUGCGGAACCUCAGAUUGACAUGGAGCACAGACCAUAGAAGCAGGCCGGAGUUCUGCUGGAGGACCGUCAAGCUCGACCAGCAACCUGGGUUAACAUGUGUUGAUUUGUAAGUCAUCUUUCAAGAAGUUGAUAUGGACAAAGGAGGAUUAUACCAACUCUAGUUGCCUUCAAGAAGUCACGAGAAGAGGCAUCCAACAAAGGUUUCGAGUUUUGAGGAAGGCGGUAGCUAAGAGUCACACCCACACAGUCUCUAUUGAUGACCUCUAAAAAAAAUUGUUUUAUUGGAUGACUAUGUAGCUUCGGUUAUUUUGGAUGGAGCAUGUAAGUGUAAUGUGUACUAUGCACGCUGUAUAGAGACUAGUUGGC
Molecule: long non-coding RNA, 771 nt
Organism: Triticum dicoccoides
Lineage: Eukaryota; Viridiplantae; Streptophyta; Magnoliopsida; Poales; Poaceae
Exons: 4
Source: RefSeq, a predicted model, not a curated record